This 117-nucleotide ribosomal RNA is filed under the name Paramormyrops kingsleyae. Lineage: Eukaryota; Metazoa; Chordata; Actinopteri; Osteoglossiformes; Mormyridae. The record is from RNAcentral.
GUCAGCAGCCACGCCACCUGCUGCUCAGACUAGGUAAUACAUCUGAAGUUAAGCAGCUUUGGGCUUGGCCAGUACUGGGUUAGGAGAUCAUCUUGGAAAGCUGGGUUGCUGCUGGAA